ACACACUCACUCACUCUCUCUCACUCUCCCCCCUCUCUCUGUUUGUCCCUCUUUCAAUUUGUUUUGCCUAUUUCUCUUUGCAUUCUUUCUUUUCUUCAAUAUGGCAUCUUCAGGUUUUGACCAGUUAUGCCAGGAUACUGCAACUAUUUCAAAGCAUCUUGACAUGAAAGCUGACAAUGCUGAACUUGGAGCAGCUACCAGAGAGGCUGAAGAAAUUCUACAAAUGUUCAAUCCUCCACUGCUGAAAAAGAUGACCAAACGAGCGAUUUCCUGGACUCAACAGACACAGUGAACUUUGCACUGCAUUUCAAAGCCAGCUCCUCAGCCGCAACACCGAGAACCAGAGUUGAGGUCAGUGUACUGCUGAGAAAAGUGCAAGAUCUGUUUAACCAAAAAUAUA
This is a non-coding RNA of Paramisgurnus dabryanus, 400 nucleotides long. NCBI's taxonomy places the organism in Eukaryota, Metazoa, Chordata, Actinopteri, Cypriniformes, Cobitidae. The record is from RefSeq and is a predicted model, not a curated record.